UAGAAACUGCCUGUGCAGAUGCCAUGU
Molecule: non-coding RNA, 27 nt
Filed under: Mus musculus (house mouse)
Lineage: Eukaryota; Metazoa; Chordata; Mammalia; Rodentia; Muridae
Source: RNAcentral